Phanerochaete sordida is the source of this 73-nucleotide non-coding RNA. The record is from the annotation of a GenBank genome assembly. Lineage: Eukaryota; Fungi; Basidiomycota; Agaricomycetes; Polyporales; Phanerochaetaceae.
AAGCCUAUGAUUUAACUGGUUAGAAUAAGCUCUUGAUAGGAGUUUUGUAGAAGUUCGAAUCUUCUUGGGCUUA